This is a long non-coding RNA of Cebus imitator (Panamanian white-faced capuchin), 676 nucleotides long. RefSeq lists it as uncharacterized. The transcript has 3 exons. Lineage: Eukaryota; Metazoa; Chordata; Mammalia; Primates; Cebidae. The record is from RefSeq and is a predicted model, not a curated record.
AUGAAAUCAGACGGUAUGUGCACUUUUUCUGUUUGGCCUCUUGCUCUCAACAUUAAGAUUCAUUCACAUUGUGCAUGCAGUUGUAGACCAUUCAUUCUCAUUGUUGCAAAGCAUUCCACUGGGUCUAACUUUUGUCUGACUUAAUCAUGCAAAGGUAUCCAAAAUGGUAUCCAAGUCUUUAAGCAUCAAAUCUAAGGAAAUGGGAUGUAAUGCCUGGAGGUGCAGUAGCCAUAAGGUGGUCAUUAGGUGACACAUUUAAGGACAAAAACAAUGUUAACUGCUCAGCAUGAAAAUCAUACAAAACAUCUGAAUUUCUUGGGUACAGCGAUGAGCCAUUGAAAGAGCUCUGGAAUCAUCACCCUCCAGACUUCUUGAUACCUACUUCUGCUUCUUUCGAUCUUUCCCUUGGUUUCAGAUACUUUCUACAUUCUCCUGGUUUCUCCACUAUUUCUCUGGUGGCUCCUCAGUCUUUUCUGUAAGAUGCUAUUCCAGGACGCUUACUUUAUAUGCCAUGGUUUCUCAGCGCUCUAAAUGAAGACCUCGUUUCUUCUCCCUCUAAAGAGUUUCAAUCAGCAUAUGUAGACUAGUAGACUAAUCAUUCCAAAUCAUUAGCUUGCACCUCUGUUAUGAGAUUUUUUUUUUUUUUUUUUUUUUGAGAUGGAGUCUUGCUCUUGUU